CGGGGCCUGGCCCGAGCCCUGGGGGGGGGCGCCGCCCCCAAAGUGGGGGACCCCCCCCUCACCCUGACGGCCACCGUGCAGGGGCUGGGGCCCCGCCUGCGCCUGACUUUGGGGGUGCUGCUGCCCGGGGGGGCCCCCCCGACCCCCAACCUGGUGCUGCUGCUGCGCUGCCACCCCCCCCCAAAACGGCUGCAGCCCCCCUGCCUCAAGGUACCCCAAAAACCCCCAAAAAUACCCUGAAACCACCCAAAAAUACACCCAAAAACCCCCAAAAAUACCCUGAAACCACCCAAAAAUACCCUGAAACCACCCAAAAAUACCCUAAAACCACCCAAAAAUACCCUGAAACCACCCAAAAAUACCCUAAAACCACCCAAAAAUACCCUGAAACCACCCAAAAAUACCCCCAAAACCACCCAAAAAUACACCCAAAAUCCCCCCAAAACGGCUGCAGCCCCCCUGCCUCAAGGUACCCCAAAAAACCCAAAAAUACCCUGAAACCACCCAAAAAUACCCCCAAAACCACCCCAAAACGGCCUCAGCCCCCCUGCCUCAAGGUACCCCAAAAACCCCCAAAAAUACCCUGAAACCACCCCAAAAUACCCUAAAACCACCCAAAAUUACCCCGACAUACCCCAAAUAACCCCAAAAUCCCCCCAAAUCAUCCCAAAACAAUCUUAAGAAAUGCUCCAAACCCCCCAGAAUGCCCCAAAAUCCCUCCAAAAAUACCCCAAAAUCCCCCCAAAAUACCCCAAAAUCCCCCCAAAAAUCCCUGCAAAAAUAACCCGAAAUACCCCAAAAUCCCCCCAAAAAUCCCUCCAAAAAUAACCCAAAAUACCCCAAAAUCCCCGCAAAAAUCCCUGCAAAAAUAACCCAAAAUACCCCAAAAUCCCCCCAAAUACCCCCAAAAUAACCUAAAAAAUUCCCCAAACCCCCCAAAAUGCCCCAAACCCCCCAGAAUGCCCCAAAGCCCCCAAAAUGCCCCAAAUCCCCCAAAUCCCCAAUUUCUGCCCCCCCAGGUGCCGCUGCUGCUGCCGGGGCUGCGCUGCUGCCUCGGGACCUGGCUGGAACCCGGGCAGGGCCCGGCCCGGCUGCAGGUGCUGGUGCUGUGCCCGGGCCGGGAGGGGCCUCUGCUGACGGCUCAGGUGGGGCUGCCCCCGGUGGCCACCUGAGGGACACCUGGGACACCUGGGACACCUGUGACACACCUGUGGCACACCUGGGACACACCUGGGGACACCUGGGGACACCUGUGGCACACCUGGGACACCUGGGACACACCUGUGGCACACCUGGGGACACCUGUGGCACACCUGUGGCACCUGCCCCUGGCACUGGUGUCACCCGUGUCACCCCUGCCCCGUGGCACCGGCACCUGGCACCGUGCUGGCCCUCACCUGUCCCCUCAUCUGUGCCACACCCGUGUCACACCUGUGCCACACCCGUGUCACACCCGUGCCACACCCGUGCCACACCCGUGUCACACCUGUCCCCUCCCCCGUCCCCAAUAAAGCUCCCGGUGCCGCAGCCCCGGCUCCUUGGGGGAGGGGCAGCCCCAGUGCUCCCAGUUCCCUCCCAGUACCUCCCAGUCCCUCCCAGUAACCCCCCAGUGCCCUCCCAGCACCCCCCAGUCCCUCCCA
Molecule: long non-coding RNA, 1640 nt
Organism: Lonchura striata (white-rumped munia)
Lineage: Eukaryota; Metazoa; Chordata; Aves; Passeriformes; Estrildidae
Source: Ensembl